This 457-nucleotide ribosomal RNA is filed under the name uncultured bacterium. Its description in RNAcentral is "bacterial SSU rRNA". It matches the Rfam family "Bacterial small subunit ribosomal RNA", at positions 103 to 556 of the family's 1533-position model. The record is from RNAcentral.
CGGGUGAGUAAUGCAUCGGAACGUGCCCAGUCGUGGGGGAUAACUGCUCGAAAGAGCAGCUAAUACCGCAUACGACCUGAGGGUGAAAGCGGGGGACCGUAAGGCCUCGCGCGAUUGGAGCGGCCGAUGUCAGACUAGCUAGUUGGUGGGGUAAAGGCCUACCAAGGCAACGAUCUGUAGUUGGUCUGAGAGGACGACCAGCCACACUGGGACUGAGACACGGCCCAGACUCCUACGGGAGGCAGCAGUGGGGAAUUUUGGACAAUGGGCGCAAGCCUGAUCCAGCAAUGCCGCGUGCAGGAAGAGGGCCUUCGGGUUGUAAACUGCUUUUGUCAGGGAAGAAAUCUUCUGGGCUAAUACCCCGGGAGGAUGACGGUACCUGAAGAAUAAGCACCGGCUAACUACGUGCCAGCAGCCGCGGUAAUACGUAGGGUGCGAGCGUUAAUCGGAAUUACUG